UUUCGGACUACUCAAGCGCAG
Molecule: microRNA, 21 nt
Filed under: Picea abies (Norway spruce)
Lineage: Eukaryota; Viridiplantae; Streptophyta; Pinopsida; Pinales; Pinaceae
Description: pab-miR11579
Source: miRBase by way of RNAcentral